GACGAACGCUGGCGGCGUGCUUAACACAUGCAAGUCGAGCGGUAAGGCCUCUUCUGGGGUACACGAGCGGCGAACGGGUGAGUAACACGUGGGUGACCUGCCCUCAGCUCUGGGAUAAGCCUGGUAAACUGGGUCUAAUACCGGAUAGGACCUUUCCUCGCAUGGGGGUUGGGGGAAAGUUUUGUCGGGUGGGGGGGGGCGGGCGGCCGCUCAGCGUGUUGGUGGGUGGCUGGCCAACCAAGGCGGCGACUGGUAGCUGGCCUGGGAGGGCGGCCGGCCACACGGGGACGGAGACACGGCCCCGCCUCCUGCGGGAGGCAGCAGUGGGGAAUAUUGAGCAAUGGGAGGAAGACUGAAGCAGCGCCGCCGCGUGGGGGAUGGCGGCCUUGGGGUUGUAAACCUCUUUCGACCCCGACGAAUUUGGACGGUAGGGGUAGAAGAAGCACCGGCCAACUACGUG
This 460-nucleotide ribosomal RNA is filed under the name uncultured bacterium. RNAcentral's name for it is "partial 16S ribosomal RNA". It matches the Rfam family "Bacterial small subunit ribosomal RNA", at positions 28 to 507 of the family's 1533-position model. The record is from RNAcentral.